GAAGCUGCAGGGGUCCUGGGUGGAGCUGCACUUCAGCAAUGGCAGCAGCAGCUCCGUGUCCACGGGCAGCCAGGAGCAGGUGCCAGCCUCGCUCUCCAUCCACAACGGGGACAUGGAGAAGAUCCUGCUGGACGCCCAGCAUGAGUCGGGCAGGAGCAGCUCCAGGGAGAGCUCCCACUGUGACAGCCCUCCUCGCUCGCAGACCCCCCAGGACAGCCACAGAGCUCUGGAGAUAGAGAGCCACAGCAGUGGGGAGAAGAACAGCUUCCAGGUAAGGUCCUCACCUGGCU
Molecule: non-coding RNA, 290 nt
Organism: Zonotrichia albicollis (white-throated sparrow)
Lineage: Eukaryota; Metazoa; Chordata; Aves; Passeriformes; Passerellidae
Source: RefSeq, a predicted model, not a curated record